GACAGCAGUAGCCGCGGUAAUACGGAGGGGGCUAGCGUUGUUCGGAAUUACUGGGCGUAAAGCGCACGUAGGCGGCUUGGUAAGUUAGAGGUGAAAGCCCGGAGCUCAACUCCGGAAUUGCCUUUAAGACUGCCGAGCUAGCAGGUGAGAGAGGUAAGUGGAAUUCCGAGUGUAGAGGUGAAAUUCGUAGAUAUUCGGAAGAACACCAGUGGCGAAGGCGGCUUACUGGCUCAUACUUGACGCUGAGGUGCGAAAGCGUGGGGAGCAAACAGGAUUAGAGACCCCAGUAGUCCCUGUCUCUUAUAC
This 306-nucleotide ribosomal RNA is filed under the name uncultured bacterium. Its description in RNAcentral is "partial 16S ribosomal RNA". It matches the Rfam family "Bacterial small subunit ribosomal RNA", at positions 507 to 807 of the family's 1533-position model. The record is from RNAcentral.